This 501-nucleotide ribosomal RNA is filed under the name uncultured bacterium. RNAcentral's name for it is "partial 16S ribosomal RNA". It matches the Rfam family "Bacterial small subunit ribosomal RNA", at positions 30 to 523 of the family's 1533-position model. The record is from RNAcentral.
AUUGAACGCUGGCGGCAGGCUUAACACAUGCAAGUCGAGCGGAGAUGAGGUGCUUGCACCUUAUCUUAGCGGCGGACGGGUGAGUAAUGCUUAGGAAUCUGCCUAUUAGUGGGGGACAACAUUCCGAAAGGAAUGCUAAUACCGCAUACGUCCUACGGGAGAAAGCAGGGGAUCUUCGGACCUUGCGCUAAUAGAUGAGCCUAAGUCGGAUUAGCUAGUUGGUGGGGUAAAGGCCUACCAAGGCGACGAUCUGUAGCGGGUCUGAGAGGAUGAUCCGCCACACUGGGGCUGAGACACGGCCCAGACUCCUACGGGAGGCAGCAGUGGGGAAUAUUGGACAAUGGGGGAAACCCUGAUCCAGCCAUGCCGCGUGUGUGAAGAAGGCCUUAUGGUUGUGAAGCACUUUAAGCGAGGAGGAGGCUACUGAGACUAAUACUCUUGGAUAGUGGACGUUACUCGCAGAAUAAGCACCGGCUAACUCUGUGCCAGCCGCCGCGGUAA